RNAcentral lists this ribosomal RNA (2104 nucleotides) under Escherichia coli. RNAcentral's name for it is "partial 23S ribosomal RNA". It matches the Rfam family "Bacterial large subunit ribosomal RNA", at positions 711 to 2798 of the family's 2925-position model. The record is from RNAcentral. Lineage: Bacteria; Pseudomonadati; Pseudomonadota; Gammaproteobacteria; Enterobacterales; Enterobacteriaceae.
AGACCCGAAACCCGGUGAUCUAGCCAUGGGCAGGUUGAAGGUUGGGUAACACUAACUGGAGGACCGAACCGACUAAUGUUGAAAAAUUAGCGGAUGACUUGUGGCUGGGGGUGAAAGGCCAAUCAAACCGGGAGAUAGCUGGUUCUCCCCGAAAGCUAUUUAGGUAGCGCCUCGUGAAUUCAUCUCCGGGGGUAGAGCACUGUUUCGGCAAGGGGGUCAUCCCGACUUACCAACCCGAUGCAAACUGCGAAUACCGGAGAAUGUUAUCACGGGAGACACACGGCGGGUGCUAACGUCCGUCGUGAAGAGGGAAACAACCCAGACCGCCAGCUAAGGUCCCAAAGUCAUGGUUAAGUGGGAAACGAUGUGGGAAGGCCCAGACAGCCAGGAUGUUGGCUUAGAAGCAGCCAUCAUUUAAAGAAAGCGUAAUAGCUCACUGGUCGAGUCGGCCUGCGCGGAAGAUGUAACGGGGCUAAACCAUGCACCGAAGCUGCGGCAGCGACACUGUGUGUUGUUGGGUAGGGGAGCGUUCUGUAAGCCUGUGAAGGUGUGCUGUGAGGCAUGCUGGAGGUAUCAGAAGUGCGAAUGCUGACAUAAGUAACGAUAAAGCGGGUGAAAAGCCCGCUCGCCGGAAGACCAAGGGUUCCUGUCCAACGUUAAUCGGGGCAGGGUGAGUCGACCCCUAAGGCGAGGCCGAAAGGCGUAGUCGAUGGGAAACAGGUUAAUAUUCCUGUACUUGGUGUUACUGCGAAGGGGGGACGGAGAAGGCUAUGUUGGCCGGGCGACGGUUGUCCCGGUUUAAGCGUGUAGGCUGGUUUUCCAGGCAAAUCCGGAAAAUCAAGGCUGAGGCGUGAUGACGAGGCACUACGGUGCUGAAGCAACAAAUGCCCUGCUUCCAGGAAAAGCCUCUAAGCAUCAGGUAACAUCAAAUCGUACCCCAAACCGACACAGGUGGUCAGGUAGAGAAUACCAAGGCGCUUGAGAGAACUCGGGUGAAGGAACUAGGCAAAAUGGUGCCGUAACUUCGGGAGAAGGCACGCUGAUAUGUAGGUGAAGUCCCUCGCGGAUGGAGCUGAAAUCAGUCGAAGAUACCAGCUGGCUGCAACUGUUUAUUAAAAACACAGCACUGUGCAAACACGAAAGUGGACGUAUACGGUGUGACGCCUGCCCGGUGCCGGAAGGUUAAUUGAUGGGGUCAGCGCAAGCGAAGCUCUUGAUCGAAGCCCCGGUAAACGGCGGCCGUAACUAUAACGGUCCUAAGGUAGCGAAAUUCCUUGUCGGGUAAGUUCCGACCUGCACGAAUGGCGUAAUGAUGGCCAGGCUGUCUCCACCCGAGACUCAGUGAAAUUGAACUCGCUGUGAAGAUGCAGUGUACCCGCGGCAAGACGGAAAGACCCCGUGAACCUUUACUAUAGCUUGACACUGAACAUUGAGCCUUGAUGUGUAGGAUAGGUGGGAGGCUUUGAAGUGUGGACGCCAGUCUGCAUGGAGCCGACCUUGAAAUACCACCCUUUAAUGUUUGAUGUUCUAACGUGGACCCGUGAUCCGGGUUGCGGACAGUGUCUGGUGGGUAGUUUGACUGGGGCGGUCUCCUCCUAAAGAGUAACGGAGGAGCACGAAGGUUGGCUAAUCCUGGUCGGACAUCAGGAGGUUAGUGCAAUGGCAUAAGCCAGCUUGACUGCGAGCGUGACGGCGCGAGCAGGUGCGAAAGCAGGUCAUAGUGAUCCGGUGGUUCUGAAUGGAAGGGCCAUCGCUCAACGGAUAAAAGGUACUCCGGGGAUAACAGGCUGAUACCGCCCAAGAGUUCAUAUCGACGGCGGUGUUUGGCACCUCGAUGUCGGCUCAUCACAUCCUGGGGCUGAAGUAGGUCCCAAGGGUAUGGCUGUUCGCCAUUUAAAGUGGUACGCGAGCUGGGUUUAGAACGUCGUGAGACAGUUCGGUCCCUAUCUGCCGUGGGCGCUGGAGAACUGAGGGGGGCUGCUCCUAGUACGAGAGGACCGGAGUGGACGCAUCACUGGUGUUCGGGUUGUCAUGCCAAUGGCACUGCCCGGUAGCUAAAUGCGGAAGAGAUAAGUGCUGAAAGCAUCUAAGCACGAAACUUGCC